AGUCCUAGAGAGGACAGGAAAAGAAGGCACCCCGAGCCCAAGCGAAGGGUUAAAAGGCCUGGCGCCGGAGUCCUAGAGAGGAGGGCGGGCGCAGGUCCCUGGCUGGUCUCUUCCGGCUCGGCUCUCUCUCCUCCCGGGAGCCUCGGAGGGCGAGUCUCUUUCUUCCCCCGGGGGUUCGCGGGGGAGCCAGUCCCGGGCCCCCCGGGGCAGGAGGGAGCUGAGCACCUCGGCUCUUCCUCGGGGCCCAGGCGCCGCUUGCCGCCCUGUGGAGGUCGGGGGGAAACGGGCGGGCAAAGAAGGAGAGACAAAGCAGAGGGAUUAUUAACAGACGGGGUCGCCAGACAGAACCAGUUGGACAUAAAUACCUACGCAAAAAAUGAAAAUGAGCACCUGAGCCAGGCAAUCCGUAGAGAAAGACGGUCGGAAGAUUGAAGGCGGAGACAAGAAAGCGCGUCUUCCUGCGGUGAACUAUGGAUCUCCCUCCCGCAGGAAGGGCGGGUUGUUAACCCCCCGGGGGUGGGACGCGGGAAUCUCGCCUGGCAGCUCUCCGCCCUCACAAGACUCCAGCAACCAGGGCCGGAAUGUAAAUGCAGGCAUGUGAUAUAACAGCCCCUCACAUCUGCAGCAGGAGGAUUGAAAUGCCCACCAUUCCGAGCUAACCACGUUCCCCAGGAUUCUUUGGCUCUUUCACGGGGUCUGAUUCUGCUUUGAAGGUACAUUGCAGCGCUGUCCCUUGGCUCCACCCCCACGUGCUUUGAACUUACCCCCGUCAUCCUCAGGGGGUUGGCCAGGACUUGCUAGUGCUUCUAAUUGGGACAGACAGAACUUGGCAGAAGAAAAAGGGAUCUCCGCAAGGCUUCAUGAGAGCACAAAUGGAUGAGCAAGACUCAGCUGACCCUGAAGCAGGAAGAGGCCAUGCUAUCAAAACUGGGAGCAGUGGGAGUUUCUGGGGAAACUCGCUGCAGAAGGUCCUGGGUGAGGAGGACACCCUCUGCUCAGAGGUGCAGAGCCAGCAGUUCAGGCAGCUCUGUUCCCUGGAGACUGAAGGACCCCGAGAAGUUUGCAACCAAUUUUACCGUCUUGAUGGUCAGUGGCUGAAGCCAGAAAGGCAUACAAAAGUUCAGAUGCUGGACCUGGUGAUCAUGGAGCAGUUCCUGGCUGUCCUUCCACUAGAGAUGGAG
Molecule: non-coding RNA, 1181 nt
Organism: Podarcis muralis (Common wall lizard)
Lineage: Eukaryota; Metazoa; Chordata; Lepidosauria; Squamata; Lacertidae
Source: RefSeq, a predicted model, not a curated record